AUUGAACGCUGGCGGCAGGCCUAACACAUGCAAGUCGAACGAGAGGCGGACGGGUGAGUAAUGUCUGGGAAACUGCCCGCUGGAGGGGGAUAACUACUGGAAACGGUAGCUAAUACCGCAUACCCUCGGAUGUGCCCACAUGGGAUUAGCUAGUAGUUGGGGUAACGGCUCACCUAGUCGACGAUCCCUAGCUGGUCUGAGAGGAUGACCAGCCACACUGGAACUGAGAAACGGUCCAGAGUCCUACGGGAGGCAGCAGUGGGGAUGAUUGCACAAUGGGCGCAAGCCUGAUGCAGCCAUGCCGCGUGUAUGAAGAAGGCCUUAGGGUUGUAAAGUACUUUCAGCGGGGAGGCGUUACUCGCAGAAGAAGCACCGGCUAACUCCGUGCCAGCAGCCGCGGUAAUUC
Molecule: ribosomal RNA, 406 nt
Filed under: uncultured bacterium
Lineage: Bacteria
Description: partial 16S ribosomal RNA
Rfam family: Bacterial small subunit ribosomal RNA
Source: RNAcentral